Molecule: ribosomal RNA, 238 nt
Filed under: uncultured Ochrobactrum sp.
Lineage: Bacteria; Pseudomonadati; Pseudomonadota; Alphaproteobacteria; Hyphomicrobiales; Brucellaceae
Description: partial 16S ribosomal RNA
Rfam family: Bacterial small subunit ribosomal RNA
Source: RNAcentral
GACGGGUGAGUAACGCGUGGGAACGUACCUUUUGCUACGGAAUAACUCAGGGAAACUUGUGCUAAUACCGUAUGUGCCCUUCGGGGGAAAGAUUUAUCGGCAAAGGAUCGGCCCGCGUUGGAUUAGCUAGUUGGUGAGGUAAAGGCUCACCAAGGCGACGAUCCAUAGCUGGUCUGAGAGGAUGAUCAGCCACACUGGGACUGAGACACGGCCCAGACUCCUACGGGAGGCAGCAGUA